Long non-coding RNA from Mangifera indica (mango), 1330 nucleotides. RefSeq lists it as uncharacterized. NCBI's taxonomy places the organism in Eukaryota, Viridiplantae, Streptophyta, Magnoliopsida, Sapindales, Anacardiaceae. The record is from RefSeq and is a predicted model, not a curated record. The transcript is spliced from 2 exons.
CCAUAUAGUAGAAGGGAAACAAUUUCUUCGGUCUCUAACUUUGGAUUGAGGGAGAAAUGAUGAUGAAGAGGUGCAAGGAAUAGAUGAAGUAGUGGUGUUAGAAGGUUUAAAGCCACACCCAAAUCUUAAGAAAAUCAAUGUGAGAUCAUUCAUGGGUGUUAAACUCUAUGAUUGGCUUUUGUCUCUUACAAAUUUAACUUCAAUUAGUAUUAAAAAUGUAGAAGAUGCCAACAUAUCCCACCAUUGGAUAGAUUGCAUGUUUGAAGACUCUGUUUCUUUACCAUCUAGAUGAUUUGGAGUACAUUUAAGACAAAGCAAAUGAGAGUUCAUCCACAUUGCCAGCAACAUUCUUCCCAUCCCUUGAGGAAUUAACCCUUUACGAUUGUCCUGAAUUAAAGGGAUGGUGGAGGAAGCAUGAUUAUAAUGAUACAGAGUUGCCUUCAUUUCCUUGUCUUUCCAAAUUAGAUAACCAGAACUGCCCCAAUUUGAUGUUCAUGCCGCUAUAAACAUCUUUGGAAGAAUUAAAAUUGCUCAAGACCAGCCUGAGAAACCAUUGCAGCGGACAACGAUGAUGACGUCGAAGAAUAAAGGGGAACCAACAACUUCCUCUUGCUUUUCUACCCCUCUCUCCAAUUUAAAGUCGAUGCUUAUGUUUAAAAUUCCUGAAAUAAAAUCUUCCCAGUGGGUGCAAUGCGAAAUCUGACUUCUCUUGUGGAUUUGAAAAUUUUGUCAUGUCCAAACAUUUCUCAGGUGGAUAAGGCAUUAAAGUUUCUCCCAUCUCUACAAAAUUGGAACAUUGCAUCCCAUGAAGAAUGUGAGCAAAAAUGGGAAGCUAUUCAUGGUAUCAAUCUUCGUUAUAUACCUGAUUUCUUUUGAAUUCAAAGGAGAGUUCUUCCUAGACAGGUUAAUAUAUACUUCUCUCCAAAUUCAUCAAUCAAUCAUUCUUAGUGUAUUUAACUUUUUUUUCUUAUAUCUUUUUUAGUAAAUACUUGCCCUUGCCCUUUUAAUGUCUUCUGUUUCAGUUCCCUUUUAUUCUAUUUGCAAUUGUUUUGCUGCUUCAACAAAUCUGCAGAUGCAAGAAUUAUCAACUAUCUGCUGCAGAAUCCAGAGUUCAGACUCCGCCUCCUCAAUCGUUCACACUUCUCGACGCUGCCUCGUCCAGUUCUCCCAUUCAACCGCCGUGAUUUUGAUGCUGUUGGUUGCUUUUCGUGUUACUUCAGUUUUUCGUUGCAUUCCAGUUCCAUGUUUCACGUCUUUGGCAACUUUUGGCGUUUGUUCUAUGUAAAAAAUAAAGAUAAUAAAAGCAAUUUCAUAACACACAUAAAAUUUA